GAUGAACGCUGGCGGCGUGCCUAAUACAUGCAAGUCGAGCGAACGGACGAGAAGCUUGCUUUUCUGAUGUUAGCGGCGGACGGGUGAGUAACACGUGGAUAACCUACCUAUAAGACUGGGAUAACUUCGGGAAACCGGAGCUAAUACCGGAUAAUAUUUUGAACCGCAUGGUUCAAAAGUGAAAGACGGUCUUGCUGUCACUUAUAGAUGGAUCCGCGCUGCAUUAGCUAGUUGGUAAGGUAACGGCUUACCAAGGCAACGAUGCGUAGCCGACCUGAGAGGGUGAUCGGCCACACUGGAACUGAGACACGGUCCAGACUCCUACGGGAGGCAGCAGUAGGGAAUCUUCCGCAAUGGGCGAAAGCCUGACGGAGCAACGCCGCGUGAGUGAUGAAGGUCUUCGGAUCGUAAAACUCUGUUAUUAGGGAAGAACAGAUGUGUAAGUAACUGUGCACAUCGUGACGGUACCUAGUCAGAAAGCCACGGCUAACUACGUG
RNAcentral lists this ribosomal RNA (497 nucleotides) under uncultured bacterium. Its description in RNAcentral is "partial 16S ribosomal RNA". It matches the Rfam family "Bacterial small subunit ribosomal RNA", at positions 28 to 507 of the family's 1533-position model. The record is from RNAcentral.